This is a long non-coding RNA of Oryzias latipes (Japanese medaka), 3352 nucleotides long. RefSeq lists it as uncharacterized. Lineage: Eukaryota; Metazoa; Chordata; Actinopteri; Beloniformes; Adrianichthyidae. The record is from RefSeq and is a predicted model, not a curated record.
GCAUUUUAUUUUGUCUUCUUGUGUUUUCAAAGCUCAGUUUAUGGUUUACAAUCCGCUUUUCUCAUUUGAUUCAUUCAGCUUCUAGGAUGGAACCCAGAUUCAGAGGACUGGCUAAUGGCACUCUGAAUUUGUCAGACUCCGCUGAAGCGUAUCCCUUAAGAAGGGCAAACAAAGGAAAACCAUGGAUGAAGCCCUUGUCUCCGGAAGCAGUACUGGAAAAGGCAACAAAGAACCUGCUGGAUCAUCAGGGAGAUCUUUCCAAGAAAGCAUCUUCUUGGCUUCUUUGAGAUCCAGUUUGGUAUUUUCCAGGGCCAGACAUUCAAAUGGCUGCUGGAAAAUGCUUUAGGUUAUGCUGCCUACCUUGUUGCUGCUAUGAAGAAAGAUCCAACAGGGGGUAGUAAAGACACCAAGGAUCAUGCCAGCAACAAAGAAAGCUUUAGAGAAUACAUGGAAAUGUUUCCAUCUGCCAAAACUGCAGUGGCGAUGAAAGAGGAGCAGAUGUCUCGAGAGAAGACACCACCCAGUUUGUCCAGCCAGCCAGGACCAUCGACGGCAUCCUCAUCUUCUCAGUUUCCAUCAACGUCAAAUCCUUCUGCUGCAAAACCUCCCAGUUCACCACCACAUCCCAAAACUCCUCAGCCCAUCUCCACCUCGUCUCUCUCUUCACUAUUGCUUUGAUACAUGCACGGCUGCAUUCCACAUUCACAACUUUAAACCAGCCAGCUGGAUCCCUUUCUUCCUCAUCUGCGCCUGCAGGAUCCCCCUUCACCCUCCAAGCCUCCUCCUCCUCCCAGUAGCAGGACCCUCUUCCCCACACCCAACUGGGAAACCUCCAUCAAUCCUCCACAGACACCACCAGCCUUUGGCCCUAAAGCCAGUGAGCAGUUCUCCACCCCUGCAGAUCCAAAAACUCUGUCUUUUCCACCCGUGUCGAGUGAGGUUGACAGAUGGGAUAAAUCUCACUCAGCAACACGAAGAGUGUGUCUUCCAGCCGGCUGGCUUCAUACACUCCCAGAGGUGGACCAGAGAUGGAUGUCCAAAGCUCUCUUCAAACAGACAGCGCAAGGACAUCCUGAACUGGACUUCAGCAGGGUGGACAGACUGUGGUGGCUUCCUCCUCAAGUCCCCUUGCAUGUAACCAAUGUCCCUCAGUAGGAAGACAAUUUUGGGAGUCCCCUCUUUCUUUGGAUGCCCCGAAAACUCUGGCAAGUCAAGCUGACAUGUCCUCAUUCAGAUUGCCACAAAGGGUUCUGACCUCAUCUGGUGUGCAUCAGAAGAUCAGACAAGUAAUUUCUGUGGAGAUAACUUACUUUGUGGCAUCUGAGUGUUUAGUUUGCAAACAAUGCAAAAAGGUCAUCAGCUGGAGCCAUGGCAUCGUCUCCCAGCUGGAUGUGGGUCACAGGAUGCAGUUUCCAUGCAUCCUCACAUCCAAGCUUGCCUGUGACCUGCGGGUGGUCACUUUGAUGCGCCAGAGAGGUUUAGGAAACAGCAGCAGCCAGAUUAGGAGGAAGUUGCAGGAGAGUCAUUCUGAAGACUGGCUGAAGAAGACUGUCCAGUAACUGACAGACUGCAAACAUGUCAAAGGGGCUGUUAAAAAGGGUCUGUUCUCCAGAGGCUGACUGAGAUCAAGGCCUCAGUAACAUCAACUUAUGGACGCAUCUUGAAGCUGGACUCCACCAAGAAAGUGGCUCGGAAACUGGCUGGAAAAGGCUUUGGAACAGCGACUUGGGCAACAAAUGUUGGCAAUGAGCAGCGCCAAAUAAUCACGUCUGUGCUCACUGCUAGCGAGGGUUUUGGCCUGGGGCCAAUGAUCGAAGGACUAAUAGGGGGAUGUGCAGUGGCUGGGGUACCUCCCCCUGAAGUGCUUUACGUUGACAGAGACUGCUGCGGAAACACGCUUCUUCGACGAAUGUUCCAGAAGUGGAAAGACCUUAAGAUCCGCCUGGACAUAUGGCACUUUAUGAGAAGGUUUUUGGUGGGCUGCACCACUGAUUCACACCAGCUCUAUGCUUCCUUCAUGAGGCGCCUCAGCCAGUGUCUCUUUAUGUGGGAUGAGGAAGAUCUGACAGCCCUCAAGAUAGCCAAACGCUCAGAACUGUCUGCCAGGCUCACAAAUCUGUCAGAAGCUGAUGUGCUGAGGUCCAUUAGCCGCAGUGAGUUAGCCCUGCACUGCAGGAGAACGACACGUGGCUCUCAGGAGACUCUGGCUCUCAUCAAAAGCCUCAUCCAAGCUUUUGAUGGGGACAAUGGUCACGACACUCUGGGGUCCCACUGAUCAACUCUGCAUGCAUGGGUGACAUUUUAGCUUCCCAGGCAAAACUUGUGGUCUGCAUCCAGGACCCCCCAAGCAUCCAGCUCUAAACCAGGACGGGAACAAUCCUGAAAGGAGGACAUCGUUUGCCCACAUACCGCUGUGCCAGAGGUUCAACAUCCUUUGAAUCUUUUCAUCUUCACCUGAAUAGGUACAUCCCUGGCACCCUGGCAAGUGAUAUCUUCUUCCAGUUCUACCUGUUAGAUGGGCUGGCCAGGGGGAAUGAAGACCGCGCUGAAGCAGCCACAACCGACAAGCAGCAGCCAUGCUCCCAUAACCAUCUCCUGCGUCAUGCUGCUAACAGUUUGUCUGAGGAGGUCCUUGGCCAGGAAAUUGUUCCCUACAGGUGAACUUCUGGGGUUAGAGUAACUUUACAAGCAAACUGGUAAAGUUCUCCAAGAUUACAGACAGGCUGUUGAAGAGUCGGAGACAACUGACAUGGAGAUUGAAGACCGCUUCAACGAACCUGAAGAGUUUGAAGACUUCACUGUACCCACUUUGGAGCCAGUGAGGACCUUCCCAGUCUCUUUAAAGUCAUCCUAGGCACCCACCAGCAGUCUGUCAGCUCCAGACCCUCAGCUUGGCCCCUCUUGGUCUCCUCCUCCUCCUCCUCCUCCUGAGGGUCCUUUAACAACUGCAACACUCGGCGCCUGGACCUACAUCACUAUCUCUCACUUCUUCACCUCUUCUUCACCCUUGUGUCUUAUCCCCCGCUGAACAGAGCAGUGAGUUUAGCCUCCAAAACAGAUCUGCCAGCAACCCCUCAACAGUUGGACUCUUCAUGUGACGAUUCUGUCGGCCCUGACAACGUGGAGGGUUAUGGUUAUGGGGCCGUGCAGGAGCUGGCUAAUGUCUUGGUCGCCCUCCGGCACAAUAAUCUUGUGGUUACUGAAGAAGAGUCAAACCGGAUCAUUUCCCUGUGGGAGUUAUUGGGGGAUUAUGAUAAACAAAAAACGGUUUACUCCCAACAUCACAAAGCCCACCUGAAGCAGGGUAGAUUUAGGGCUACCAAGCAAAUUGUAGCCCCUGGUGUCAAAAGCA